Molecule: ribosomal RNA, 232 nt
Filed under: uncultured bacterium
Lineage: Bacteria
Description: partial 16S ribosomal RNA
Rfam family: Bacterial small subunit ribosomal RNA
Source: RNAcentral
CGGACGGGUGAGUAAUGUAUGGGGAUCUGCCUGAUGGCGGGGGAUAACUACUGGAAACGGUAGCUAAUACCGCAUAACGUCGCAAGACCAAAGAGGGGGACCUUAGGGCCUCUUGCCAUCGGAUAUGCCCAGAUGGGAUUAGCUAGUAGGUGGGGUAACGGCUCACCUAGGCGACGAUCCCUAGCUGGUCUGAGAGGAUGACCAGCCACACUGGAACUGAGACACGGUCCAG